Camarhynchus parvulus is the source of this 581-nucleotide long non-coding RNA. RefSeq lists it as uncharacterized. The transcript has 3 exons. The record is from RefSeq and is a predicted model, not a curated record. NCBI's taxonomy places the organism in Eukaryota, Metazoa, Chordata, Aves, Passeriformes, Thraupidae.
GGUAGGAUUUUCUGCAUGUUCUGCAUUCUCUGCUUUCUUAAUGGCAAGAACUUCUGUGGGAAGUUGGAGGAAGAAGUUGAUCCCACAGUACAAGUUUGGCACAUCCUCAUGGCCUUGAGAUGGUGUUUUCCCUGGAAUGUCCAAAGGCACCUAAAGGGAAGUGUUUCUGAGUCAGUGAAGGGAACCCAGCACAUUUUCCAGCUUCCAGGAGGAAAGGCUCAGGAGAAAGACAGGCAAACCACUGAUGAGCCAGUAACAGUAAACAGAAAGGAGGAAGAGCCAAGUGGAGCAGCUUGGAAGGAAGGCCCAGGUGGACGCGGGAGGAAGAGCUGAGCACUCUCACUCUGGCAGUGGGGUCUAUGCUGGAGGCAUUAUGUCAUGAGAAAUAUCAGAGAUAAGAAGUCCUGAAAAACAAUAAUUUAUGUGCAAGCUGACAAGUUUCAACAGCAUGGACAGAUAUGAAAAGGUUAUGAGGGUUUUUUGGGGGGUGUUUGUUGUUGUGUUGUCUUGGGGUUUGGGGUUGUUAUUUUUUUAAAUUUUAAACAUUAUUUGGAAACAGAUGGGUGCUUAACCUCUUAAGA